This 42-nucleotide transfer RNA is filed under the name Polygonatum kingianum. RNAcentral's name for it is "partial tRNA-His". The record is from RNAcentral. RNAcentral also lists the same sequence under 1 other name. Lineage: Eukaryota; Viridiplantae; Streptophyta; Magnoliopsida; Asparagales; Asparagaceae.
GGGGCGGAUGUAGCCAAGUGGAUCAAGGCAGUGGAUUUGUGA